Molecule: long non-coding RNA, 27768 nt
Filed under: Coffea arabica (coffee)
Lineage: Eukaryota; Viridiplantae; Streptophyta; Magnoliopsida; Gentianales; Rubiaceae
Description: long non-coding RNA (CARA_LNC004456)
Source: RNAcentral
GAGGUGGACGUAGGGUACUCCUCUGCCCUUUCUGCAUUAUUGUGCUUCGUUUAAUUGAAUUUAGUACUAUUUGAUAAAUUGAAGUGAUGAGUGAAAACUUUUAUUUUUUAUUUUUUUUUAUUUUUUUAUGGAGCUGUAGAGGUUUGGGAAUAUUGGUGGUUUAUUUCAAGUAAUGUCGGUGGCAAUUCGGGCGUUGGAUAAGCAAGAUGUUGAUCCCCCUUACAUGACAAAACUCGCUAAGAUUGCCACUGCUGAAAUGAUCACUUCCAAGGUGCAGAUGAAACUUAUGUUCUGUUUUUGCAAGUAUUUCUGCUGGAAGGUUCCUUUUGACGCACUAUUAUUGCUAUUAUUGCUUUACAUCUUUAAGGAAUUUCAAGCUGAUUGGCAAAGAGCUGCAGCUGGUGUUCUUGUAGCAAUAGGUUUGCAUCUGCCUGACCUUGUAAGUUGUUCGUUUUUGUUUCGGCGUUAGGUGCGAUAAUACACAUGUAUCCUGCUGCUUUUCCAUCUUUUGUGGUUUUUUUGCACAAAAGUACCUUCUUGUAGUUUUUAUGAACCUCUGUUUAGUGAAUAUUCUGAUACAACCUUAACAGGAAAAAGGAGGUUAGAAUUUUUAAAGAGUUUCAAACUACGUUAAAGCUAAGUUGGGCAUGUAGGCAGAUUUAGUAUCAAUGGCCAUAUUGAAUAAAGAUUGGUGAAGGAGAAUUCUUACUAAUUUUUAUUUUUUCUUCUCAAGUUUGGGAAAUAUGCAUGCGAUCAGGCACGUUUUCCUGCUAAAUGCUUUCAUCUGUUUUUCUUGCUUCCUCACUUUAAGUCAAUUAAGAUGCAUCACCUGCAUGUACCAUUCUGAUGUUCAGCAUGAGCAAAAAAGUUCUGCCAUCCCAUGUAUUGAUUUAUCCUGCAACCUAUAAUUGCAAACACAAUCCAUGUUGGGUUGGUAUUAGCUGCUUGCAUCUCUUAAAGACAAUAGUUGUAAUAUGGGGAAAAGAAGCAUUAACUGCUUUUGGUUGAAGCACUCAUUUGGAUGGCAAUGGGAUGCUAAAGUUUUUACCAAAUGGUUUUGCUUAAAGAUAGCUAUGUAAACAGUUGGUGACUUUCAACUUCAGUGCUAACAAAUUGCUCUUUUAUAGUUUCUCUAAUAUCCAUCAUCAAGCUGGGAUAACCUGUUACUGAAUUUGGUCUAGGUGAGCUUCACUGAUGUUCACCUGAACUUCAGUAAUGUUAGAAUUUCAGCUAAAUCUGUUCCUGAUACUAGAAAUAUAAUUGGGACAUGCAAUCACUGACAUGCAGACAUGUAUAUGUUUUGUACAUAUGCAAAGAAUAUUCUUAAGACUUAAGCCACCCUUGUUAUUUUCUUUUACAUCUUUCCCCAUCAAAUCUUUUUUUAGAACCUAGUGUGGAAGCUUGUUAAUUUCAUAUCUGUAAGAUGAAUUAGUUGAAUGUGCUUACAUGUACAGUGUAUUUUAUUGUGUUGUGUAGAGUUGUUCUUCAGGUGCUGGUGUCCAAUAUAUCCAUUUGUGGAUAUUCUUUUGGGUGUCCAUGGGCAGGGUGAAUAGAUGAUGUUCGCAUUCUAUCUUGUGAUUUAUCGUUAGGGUGGAUUAAGAAGUCGGAGACUGUUAAUUUCUUUUUAAAAUUUUUAAAUAUAUUGUGGAAAGCUAUAUGCUUGACCUUAUUUGGUUUAAUUCAGCCUUUUUUGUAUCUGCAUUUCCUGGGGAAGCAGGUUGAACUUUUCUUGUUCUGCAGAUGAUGGAAGAAGUAUUCCUUCAUCUCUCUGGGUCAAGUUCAUCUAUGCCUGCAAUGGUUCAAGUACUGGCUGACUUUGCUUCAUUUGAUGGUACAUUGUCUGAUGAGAUAUAUUCACUUCUAUUUCUUCUUUUGAUUAGCUUUUGGCUGGGUUGUUUAAACUGACGACCAUGAUUUAUUCUACAUUUAUUGUUGAAGCUUUACAGUUCACUCCAAGACUUAAAGUUGUCCUUGCACGAGUUUUGCCCAUUCUGGGCAAUGUGAGGGAUAUUAACAGGCCAAUCUUUGCAAAUGGUAUGUUGAUCCUGUUUUACAGCACUUGAAAUACAUAGAUGAUUUUCUGUUUAAUGUCUUCCUUUUCUUACAUAAAAAAUUAUAUCGCCUUGCUGUCUUCCUCUGCAUAACCUUGAACAAGCUGUUCCUUUUACAGCAUUUAAGUGUUGGUGCCAGGCCUGUUGGCUGUAUAGUGUGGAUUAUCCUCUCUUCUCCAUUCUUGAUGCUGAUGUCACGUAAGAUCAGUUUGCUUGCGUUUGGUUCUUUCAUGAUCUUUUGCCUUUUUCUUGCUGUUUUCAGUGAUAGAAAUGUGUACUGUAGGGCAGGUCUUUCCUUAAUUCUGCUUUCGAACUUCUAUUGAGAGUUUGGGCAUCAUCACGAGAUCUCAAGGUUUGCAAGUACUCAUGUCCUUAUGAUAUUGUGGUUUCUAUUCAGCAUGAUGGGCCAUGGCUUCCUGACAUCAUUUAUGUUUAUCUGAUAUUAAGUAUGGUUUGAACUAAUAUUUCCUCUAUUGCUGGUUAAAUUUCACAGGCCUGUAAUUGACUUUGUUAUGUAAAACUAUGAUAAGCAACUGCUUUGUUUAGUUUUGUGACAUAUAAUAAGUGAAAUUGGAGUUUCAUUUGCAUAGUUGAUGCUUACAUUUUCUCGAAUUUAUUCAAGAUACUAAUUUUUUUUUUUUUGCAAAAAAUGCUUGCUGCUCUUCUCUCUCUCUCUCUGGUGAAUUCCUUUAAAAAAAUUUUCUUUUUUUUGGUCCUUGAAAAUGCUUUAGUUUCUCAAGGUGUGGGAAUUUUGUCAAUUUUAUGUGUCAAUAAGCAAAUAAAGUUUCUUUCUCGUGAUGUAUGUCUGCUGUUUCUGCAGGUCAGGAGUACUACCAUUGAAGCAUUAGGUCAGAUGGUUGGUCUUAUAACCCGGGCACAGUUGAAGAUGGCUUUACCAAGACUUGUUCCAACUAUUUUAGACAUGUAAGUUGUAUUUUGAAUUCUGAGAAACAGAAGUUGAUACUUACAAUAGUCUUAGAUGUAGUUCAUCUGGUGAACCUGCAUUGCAUCUUUUUUCAUGGAGUUUUCAGUCAUCCACAAAUGGGGACUCUUGCACUUGGAGUAUGAGUUGUGUCUCUCUAUUUCACAUGAAGAGCUUUUUAAUAAAACCCAUCUUUUUUGUAAAAUUCAGGUAUAAGAAAGAUCAGGAGAGUGCCUUAGUGGCCACUUGUACGCUCCAUAAUCUUCUAAAUGCUUCAUUACUUUCUGAAAGUGGUCCGCCUUUGCUUGAUUUUGAGGUUAGUCAUUUUAAAUAUGCUGCUUGAUUUUGAGGUUAGUUAUUUCAAAUCUGCUGCUCUGUAGAAAACUUGAUAAAUUGGUUUGGCAUGAAGGUUGAAAUAUAAUGUCUUGCUUGCUAUAUCUUCAGCCUACUUAUGACAUUUUUUGGCUUUCUUAAAAGGGAAGAAAAUUUCCUAAUUUGACUACUUUAUGGUUUAUCUGAACUCUGUCAGCUUCAGUUUUCUCAUAGUUUGAGAUCCCUUCUUUGUUAGAAUUCCAUUUAUCUGUAACGAAUAAUUUUUUUCCUUCUUUCUAUGCUUGACACUGGAUGUGUUCACUUUAAUCUAGGACUGUCUCUCAAGUGUAAGGUUUUAGGAUGUCAAGAGUUGGAAUAGGAAAAGGGAGUAUUGGAGAAAUUUUUGCUAUAACUCAUCUGGCUUCUGAUAUUCUUCUCCUGAUUCUUCAGUUAGAAGUUAGAAUAUUUCAUAUGUUAGAUUGCAAUCUGGUGGCUCUUGCAUAGUUGUGCAUGUUGGAUUUUGUGCUUUGUUUCUCCUGCAACACAGACAAUAUCUUCUAUUUUUCAUGUUCAUAUUGGAAUUUCACUUUGGAAGUGUUAAUGAAAAGAUCCUUCUUCUUUUUCACUGCUUAAUUUUUCAUUUUUCAAAUUUUUUUAUGUUUCUGGGUGUUACCUUGAAUGAGGUGCAAAUUUGGUGAGUUAAUAUUGUCAAGCUUUGAAACUGACAUGAUAUUGGGUAACAGCGUAGAAGUAUGAAGUGUACCAGUCAGUUCAUUCUCUUCUGAAUUCACUUUUAGAGACUAGAAAUUCAUCCUGUCCUGUGCAGUUUUGAAUAUGAAGGAGAAUUUCAGUUUUCUGUUGAAUUGAUUGGUUAACGUCAAGCAUGCUGCCUACUUAUGCAGGAAAAUGUUCUAAACAUGAUCAUUUAUAAUCCAUAUCUUGCAAUUAUCUCAUUGACUUCAGUUGUGGGAUUUGAUGGGACUCUAAUGAAAGGCUGAUGACUUGAUACUGAGUGAUACAAUCGAUAGCAUCAUGACCUAGUGGUGAUGUGACUAUAAUGAGCAUAUGUUUUAAUAGCUACUUUAUGUGAUGUUUGCAGGACAUCACUGUUAUAUUAUCAACACUUCUUCCGGUGGUUUGCAUCAGCAAUGACAGCAAAGAGCUUUCAGACUUCUCUGUGGGACUGAAGGUAUUGCUUUACUAUUGUUCUUUUUCAGUAUUGUUAGAUGCAUGUAUUGCAAGAGAUUAUUAAGUCAAUUGAUUUUUGUGGUAGAAAUUUGACCUUUGCUUUGUAUUGAAGUUCCCUUAGAUUCUUUUCGGGGUUACUUGUUAAUCAUAUUUUAUUUACAUGAAGUGGUAAAAAGGAUGAAAAUAACUUUCAAGGCCUUCAAGUACAGUUUAGCAGACGGCUCUUUGUCCAAGACCAAUAGAGGGAGAGAGAGAGAGAGUCAAAACUGACUUACCUUGGAUUAGCAAAAGCUUACUACUUUAUCUUUCCUCAUAGUUUUAGCUCUACCUUUUCCUUGUCAAGAAAAAGUCAGAUUUUCAAGGCCAGGAUCCUUUUGCUAUCAUCUUACGUCUUUGAUAUUAUAUUCUGAGAGGAACUUCAGGGCUGGGUCCCUUUUUCAUUUCCUUUUCUGCAAUAUCACAUUUGACCCUCCAUUACAGCUCGAUAAGGCUCGUUAGAGCUCAGCUCGAUAAGGCUCGAGCUAGGCUCGUUAGUUGCGGUAAACGAGCCGAGCUUGAGCUAGAAAUGUGCUCGUUUAGUUAACGAGCCGAGUAAGCUCGGCUCGUUUGAUAUCCGACUAGCUCGUUAGAGCUCGUUAAUAAAGGGCAUAUUUGUCAUUUUAGAAGUCAAAAGUAUAAAAAUUGAAAAUUAUAGAUUUUAUUGAGGUUAAUUUGCACGAGCUCGAGCUCGUACAAGCUCAACUCGUUUGUGAUAAACGAGUCAAGCUCGAGCUCGAGCUUGAGCCAUAUGUACAUUUGACGAUCCGAGUUCGAACACAUUUUAAAGCUCUUUGCCUAACGAGCUCGACUUAAACUCGAAUUAAAGCUCAUUUUAGAGCUCGAAUUAAACUCGAGUCGAGCUCGGCAGCCAAAUACUUGGCUCGACUUGGCUCGAUUAACAGCUCUAGGUGUACAGAAAGAGAGAGAAAAUAUUUGUUUACAUAUGAUAGGUUUCCAAGGUCUCAUCUAAAUGAAGCAUGUAUUUUAACUCUUAGUGAAUUAAUGAUGGAUUACAUCAUCUAAAACUAGGCAUAGAAGGAAAAUAUCCUUGGAGUUUUAGUUGAACAUUAAAGAGUCUUUACGUGCCAGUGGCUGUGCUGUUGCGCUUGUUAAUUCUUUUGAUCUGUUGCUUCUGUCUUAUAAUCAUUGGGCUAGAUAGGUAGGUUCUAAAGAGUCUGUUGGGCUCCAUGGAUUUUUUGUGCCUUUUCUACAUCUGAUCUCUUUGAUUUUAUUAAUUUUAAUUUUUCUCCUUUUGAAUGUCAGACUUAUAAUGAAGUUCAGCAUUGUUUUUUAGCAGUGGGGUUGAUGUAUCCUGAGGAUUUAUUCAUGUUCCUACUCAAUGUGGGUAUUUAUCCUGGUUUAUGCAUUUUUGUUCACUAAGUUUAUUAUAAAGAAAUGAUUUCCUCCUCUUGCAAUGAAUUAGAUAAUGGAAAUCUAGUGCCAAGCAAAUGUUCUGGUUAUAAGUGUUCUGAAUCAUUUCAUAAAUUUGCUAGUUGUCACCAGAAAUGCAGGUUGAAAGAAGAACCUUUGACUUUUGGUGCACUGUGUGUCCUAAAGCAUCUCUUGCCGAGGUUUCUUCUUCUUCAUGAGUUGAACACGGUCCUGACUGUAUUUUGUCACCUGAUGAUCUUAGUCCAAUUUAUUUGAAGGUUAUCUGAAGCUUGGCAUGGUAAAAGGCCUUCACUGGUUGAAGCUGUUAAGCUGUUAUUGGAUGAGCAUAGUCUGGGUGCCCGUAAAGCGCUUGCAGAGGUUAGAUAUCUUGCUUUGACAAAAUGUCUUUUGAUAAAUAGAGCAGAUGAUUGUCAGCUUUUAACUUCUUUCUGGUUUUUGAUUGUGUUGCUCUGUGAUAGUUAAUUGUUGUUAUGGCUUCUCAUUGUUACUUGAUUGGACAACCGGGAGAGCUAUUUGUUGAAUUUUUGGUACGGAAUUGUUCAAUUGAAGAUGCUGUGAAUCCUAAGGAAGUUGUUAGACGAAGUGGCACUCAUUAUGCUUUUCCAUACAAGAAGUUAGAGGUUUGCGAUCUUACUUCAAAAUUUUCUUUGUUUUUAUAGAGUUUUGUAUUACUCGCAAUUUAGGUUGAAUUCAUCAUCUUAUCAGUAGUUUGAAUUAGCAUACCGAAUUCUCUAUCAUCCUUCUGAAAGGAAUCAGACGAGUCUAGUGGUUUUUGGCAUGGCCUAGAAUGCAAUUUUCAUUGGUACUGCAUUUAAGCGCGUGCAUGUGAUGCAGCAUCUUGGCUGUUUCCUCUGCAUGUUGAAGUCAUUAUAUACAUCAAAACUCUUUGUAGUUAAUGCGCUCAAAAUUUUCAGGUGAAAGCUGGAGCUUUUAGUCCCACUGAGUUACGGGCAAUCUGUGAAAAGGGUCUUCUUCUGAUCACCAUUACUAUUCCCGAGAUGGAGGUACCGUAUAUUAAGUUAUUGAUUAGUACACAGUUUUCAUCUUUUUGGUGUGCUGUGGUUUAUUGUCUCUCUUGCUUGAAGCUAGAUUUUUCUUUCUUUCAGUUGGUGAUUUAAUUUAGAGGAUUUAUCUUUCUGUUUGUGAUAAAUGCAGCUUGUUCUCUGGCCAUUUUUGCUGAAGAUGAUUAUACCACGAGUCUACACAGAUGCAGUUGCCACGGUAAAAUGUAUCCUGGUCUUCAUCUGAUUUUCAUGAUAAAGUAGGGAAUCCUGUUAAUGUACAAACCCUUUCUGUUCCUUUAAGUGCCUCCCAAAAGUUGCUUUUCUUGCUUUAUAUCAUCCUGUAUUUUGUGCCGAUGACUUCAGUUUUGUCUCGCUUUAGUAACAUGUAAUCAAGCUGUUUAAAGUUUACAGCUAGUUGCUGUAAUGUUUGUGUAAGCUCACCUCACGUUAACAGGUUUGCAGAUGCAUCUCAGAAUUUUGCAGACGUAGAUCUUCUCAGAGUAAUAGUAUGCUAUCUGAGUGUAAUGCUCGAACUGAUAUUCCGCAUCCUGAGGUAGAAUCAUUUUCUUGGGCAAUUACUGUCUGUUUACAUAUAAUGUCCUCUUCACUUGAAGAAGAAGUGUGAAAUUAAUAUGCAUAUCCAGGAGCUUUUUGCCCGUCUAUUGGUGCUUCUACACAAUCCUUUAGCAAGGGAGCAGCUGGCAACUCAAAUCUUGAUGGUGAGUUUCUUUGCUCUGGUGGUGGGAGACUAUGUACUGUGAUAAUGCGCCUGUAGAAGCCCUAUAUUCUACACUAUCAUAAUGAUGUAUGCUGCAUUUUGGGAAUGCCAAUUUCUUCUCUGCUAAUCUUUUCAAAGGGGGUUAAGAUGUUUGAGGAGAAGAAAUCAUUGGUUUCUUCUGAAUCCCUUCUCCUCUCCCUUGUUUUGUAGGUCCUGUAUCAUUUGGCUCCUCUCUUUCCAAAGAAUGUUAGCUUGUUUUGGCAAGAUGAGGUAUACUAUGAAGUAUAUGUGUAAGCUUAUCUUUUUGAUGUUCUUCCCAAUAUCUGUCUCUCUUGCUCUCUCUCUCUCUCUCUCUCUCUCUCUCUCUCUCUCUCUCUCUCUCUCUCUCGCUUGCUCACUCUCUUGCACACACAUUUAACUCAGUAUGACAUCCUUUUUCAUUGAGAAAGUAUAGAAGAAUCUGAUUCUUGAAACUAUUUUGAUACUACUGAACCAAAGCUGUUGACAUGAGAUCUGGUAUUGAUAUUUGUUUUGACAUUUGGUUUAUGGCACUAUGAUUUAGGAUAAUAGAAGUGUGUGAGCAAGUGAAAAGUGCAUUGCUUGGUAUAUCUUUAGAUGAGAUUUUGCUGGAGAAGCAUGAAUUAGAAUUAUGUUAAACUGCAUUCUCCCAAACAUUUUUAAGCAUCAAAAGGUGCCUUUAAAUAAAGGAGAAGACUGCAAUUUGUCAAACAGUACAUUAUUAUUUUCCUUUGUACUAAACUAGUACUUCUGUAUGUUGUUAAUAUAAACCAAAAUAUCUUUUCUUACAUUCUAACUGGUUGUCUUGUUUGGUAAGCUCUAGAUUCCGAAAAUGAAAGCAUAUGUGGGUGAUACAGAUGAUCUGAAGGAAGACCCAUUCUAUCAAGAGACCUGGGAUGACAUGAUUAUCAACGUAAGCUUUGCUGAACUUUCUUGCAUGACUAGUUUCUGUUGAAGCAUGAUGUGGAUUACUUCCAAUCAUGCUAUAUAUUAAUAUAUCUAUCUAAUUUUUGCAAGGACUCUUUACAAUUCGUAGCUGGCCCUUUCCCUCAUUUUCUAUGACAGAAUAGCAUAAUUGUCUUAUCUUCCUCAACCUCUUACUUAUACAGAAGGUGUAUUUGCAUUUUUAGAGGCAAAGUAGAUGGAAAGCUUUGGUUAGGGCCUCUUAAGGAUUAUGAAUGACGCUAAUGACAGGAGUGAUGCCUUCUGGCAUGUUUGAAUUCUUUUUGUUUGUCUGACAGUUUCUUGCAGAAUCUUUGGAUGUAAUUCAAGACAUUGAUUGGGUAAUUUCUCUGGGAAAUGCUUUUGCUAAACAAUAUGAACUUUAUACAUCUGAGGAUGAACACUCUGCCCUGCUUCAUAGGUAAUGUGCUUUUUCAUCUUCUCCUAAUGAAUUUUUCUGAUGGAUUUAUGAAAUAUUGUGGGGGUAAUAUUUUUGUACUCCCCAAAGCAAGAAAACUCUAAAGAAAUGAAGGAUAGUUUAUACAAUUAAAGUAUUCUUGUAUUGUAUUCAUUUAUUCAGUGAAUCAGUAUGUUAUGUUGUUCAUGUGCUAAUUUUCAUAAGCUUGUCCUAUUUCUUGGUUGCUCAUAUGUCCUUUUGAGAACUCACCACUUGUUUCAUGUUGGAGAGUGCGUCCAUGCUUUUUCGUAUUUUGAUCAUUAAUGUAAAUCUUUCUCUUGUCAGUCCUUUUUGUGCAUUAUAUAUUGUUAUUUAUAGACAUACUGAGAUUUUACAAUCAAGAUUAAGAAUGGUGGUUAAUUGCCACUACAUGCUUCAGAGAUAAAUUCAGGGCUUGCUUUUCUUUUCUGGUGCAGGUGUCUGGGCAUUUUGCUGCAAAAAGUUCAUGACAGAACGUAUGUUUGUGCUAAGAUUGAUUUGAUGUACAAGCAAGCUAAUAUUUCUUUCCCAAAGAAUAGACUUGGUUUGGCAAAGGCCAUGGGAUUGGUAAUUGCUUGCAGAAUUAGAAAAUUAGCUCUUCUACUCAGUUUGGACUUAUUAGUGUGGAUGGCAAAUAAUUUGUCAUGUUUUUAUUUUUUGUUGUCAAUUUGAGGUUAACUGCAAUAGUGUUUGAUAGGUUGCAGCAUCACACUUGGAUACCGUCUUGGAAAAGCUCAAAGACAUUCUUGAUAAUGUUGGCCAAAGUUUCUUUCAAAGGUAGAUCCUGGAUAUCAUGCUUUGUUUAGCUGUUUAAGUUUGGCUUUUGACGUAUUUAUCUCUUUACUUGCAUAACUUCCUCUGGUGUCUUUCGGAUAUUCUGUUAUGAUCAUAUGUUUACCCUAAUUGUUAUUUGGAUGGGAGAAGUUUCAAUUUUGAUACGCUGCUGAUAAAACAAUACCUGGAUCGUGCUCCUUUCAAUGUAAAGUUUUCUGGGAGUUCAGCAUUUCCUAGUAAUGGGUGAAAGUUUUCUCUUUGAUUCCAAUACUUUGACGGGCAUCGUUGAUACUUGAAUUCCUGAAGUCUUACCUGCUUCUUACAAGAAUAAAACAAUCAUUUUUGGAUUUUGUCUUAAGAUAUAGCUGCAUGUAGCUUAUUGUACUAAUUUGUCUCAUAUCUGGUGCCAUCUUGCAUAUCUCUCUUUAUAUGUGCUUCUAUCUGGUGUCAUCUCUUAUCUCUGUGUAUGUAUAUCUAUGGGCAUUCAUUGAAGUAUAUUAAACUAUAUAGGAUGGGUCUGUUGCAGGAUCCUGUCAUUUUUCUCUGACAGAGCUAAAAUGGAAGAGUCAGAUGAUAUACAUGCUGCUUUGGCACUAAUGUAUGGCUAUGCUGCAAAAUAUGCACCAACAACAGUUAUUGAAGCAAGAAUUGAUGCGCUAGUGGUGAGCCUCCUGUUUUGGGAGUUUGACUUGAUCGGCUAAGCCUUUGGAUGCCACUCAUGCAUUGCUUUGUUCAAUCUUCUCGUAGUUAAUGUACUUUUGAUUCUAGAAAUGUGUACUUGGUAAAAGAUGCAUCCAAUUUGAAAUUUGAGGAAAUUUAACCAAUAUGUUGUGUUAAGGGAAAUUAGAAGUUUGAUUUUUAAUAAAAUAUUUACGAGUGUUAUAGUUUGACGAUUAGAAAAACGAAAAGGAUAAUCAAUGUAAAUCCAGGUUCUUAUACCCAAAGGCCUAUCCUUCUAAUUUUCAGGAAUGUUUUUUCUUCUGAGCAAUUUAGUGAUGUUUGUUGAACCCUAACUAAUUUUUGGUAUCAUUGUUGGAGAGGUUGUCUACCAAGGUAUUACAUUCAUACGGUUGUUAGAGAGAAUCCAUUUCAUGGGCUGAUACUGUGUCACCUAUUCAAAUUCUUUUGUUUCCAUGUUUGCUAUUCUGUAUCUCAAUUCUUACCUUGAUGAUAAGCAAAUUUUGUUGCAUAUUUAUUUGCGUGUUUGUAAAACAAUAAUGCAAAUUUGUGUUCCAUGAACUUAGAUUUUUAAGUUUGGUUGCUGUCAGAAAUUGGCCCAUUUCAAUGCCUGGAUGGGAAUUGGGAAAAGGUCCCCUUCAUUGUUGAAUAAUCCUUAUACAUAUCAGAAAUUUCCCAAAACUUAUGAGAAACAAGCGUUCACCAUUUCAGAAUGUCAGAAGAUCUUAUAAUGCUAUUGCACUUAUUUAUGAUAUUACUUCAAUUUCAUCCUUCCAAGAAAGACUUCUGUGUCUAUGUAUGCCUGUUUACUGAAAGAUGACAAAAAUCAAGAAAUAUAACAUAGGGAGUAAUCCUAUUCUAAUCUUUUUCUCCUGCUUAUUGGUGCAUUUUUCAUUAGUUAGAACAGUACUUUAUUAUGUUUUUCCUUGUUUUCACUGAUUUAGUAUUGUACAGUGUGAGGCUGUUUUGGGGAAAAAAAGAGAGUAGAUUCUAAGAGAACCUAGUGUUGCUGCUUGUUACAUUGUAAAGGGCUAUCCAAAAUAGUAAUAAACCUUGUAAAGGACUAUGCUGAAAUUGAUCAGGUUGUGACUGAUAGUGGUGAGAUAUUACUAAAGGAUAUUCUCCAAGCAUCUGUAAUGUUAUUAUAUCCCCAUCAGCUUCCUUGGUGUGAAUCACGUUAUAUGCAUUUGUGUCAAACAAAAGUAUUGAAGGAUUCAAUUCAACUGGUGUAUUCUCCCAUCACUAAGCAUGUUGCCUUCGGUGUCAUACCAGAAAGUAUCAAUUUUUUUUUCGCAAUGUGCAAUUUGCGGAGGCUUUUGCUUUUGUGUGACUUCUUAUUGAAUUAUUAAGACAUUCUGACAGAACAUAAUGGCAAGAUACCAUACUUCCAUUUCAGCUUGUGUAAUUUUGGCACAUUAGUUGUUUUACGACUCACAUGGAGUUUCUAAAUUGUUUCAGAUGUUACUGGAAAAAGUUUUUCCUUUUGAAUGUACGAAUUUUCCUGUUCAAAUUGAUUAUGACUGGUUUUUAAUGCAAUUUUUCUUUUUUGUGUUUGCUUCACCUUGCAUCUUUCUGCAUUGGCAUUUGAUUGAAUAUACUUGUUGAUUGUUAACAGGGGACUAAUAUGCUUUCACGUCUUCUCCAUGUACGCCAUCCGAUUGCAAAACAGGCUGUUAUUACUGCUAUUAAUUUACUGGGUUGGUACUCUCUAUGACUUAGGCAUUUGAUUUUUCUUCCUUGUAGUUCUUCCUUUUGGGCUGCCCGGCAUUGAAUAUGCUGUCAUUUUAAUGUUUCUAAAGAUGCUGUUCAUUCUUCACUUUCUCAAGUUUUCAGAUUCUUCUCUUUUAAUGAGUUAGUAACUCAUCAAACUCAUGCACAUAAUUUAUUUAUUUUUUACCUCCUUUGGUUUGAUUUAGAAACCUUUUUUUAGUGUUCUGGUAUUUAUCUAUGUGAACUGAUUCAAAUACUAACUGGAAUCAUUAGAAGCUGAUCUGAAGUGGUAUUGGAAUCUUUUUUGAAGUACAUGGACUGAUAAAUCGUCUCUUUAAAUUCUGAGACCCCCUGUUUGUUGCCCUCUCUGUGGGUUCACCUUUGGAAUUAUUUGAUGCCCCAUUAUGUCACUAAUCAUGCUCGUGUUCUACAUUGUAGUUGAUGCUUAGAGACUUUCUACUAUUCUAUUCAUGUGCAAUCUCCCUUGGAUUUCAUGGCUAAAAGUCUGAAAUAUAAUUCCUGGUGCAGGUCAGGCUGUCUACAGUGCUUCUCAAUGUGGUACAUCCUUUCCACUGAAAAGAAGAGACCAAUUACUUGACUAUAUAUUAACUCUGAUGGGCCGAGAUGGUGAAGAUGAUUUUUUUGAUUCUACUCGUGAACUUUUAUGUACUCAGGUUUCUAUGUUAUAAUGAAUCUGUACAAAAUUUGUGUCCAGUAUGAGUUUGUUCACAGGCUUAUUUUGCCUUGGCCUGCCUGUUUUGAAUCAGCAUAAUCUCUAAUUUGGAUUCUUCUAUGCAGUCUCUUACUUUAAGUGCUUGUACUACGCUGGUUUCAGUGGAGCCAAAGCUCACAACUGAAACAAGAAAUCUUGUUUUGAAGGUGCACAUCAUUAUUGUUCAUCAUUCAUAAAAAUAGUUUCAGAUCUUGCCGUCUGAUCCUGUUCAUUUUAUCUGGCAGGCCACCCUAGGAUUUUUUGGUUUACCAAAUGAUCCUUCUGAUGUUGUCAACCCCCUAAUUGACAAUCUUAUUACUCUCUUGUGUACGAUUCUUGUUACGGGGUAUUCUUUUUUGCCUAUUAGCUUUUUCCAAUUCAUUCUUCAUUUCUGUCUUAUUAAUAGUGUCAUUUUCGGAAUCCAUAUCUAGUUGUCUUUUAGUGGAUAUUGGAACUUAUAGUGUACACACACACACGCUCAUCUUUUUCUGUGUUUUACACCCUGCUUUAUUGUUUCACUUGAUGGUGUUGUGGCAAUUUUGUGAAAUAUAUGACAGAUGGUACUGAAUACGAUUUUCUUCAGAUCAUUUACAGGAGACUGAUCUCUUUUUUCCCCCCUGCUCUUCUAGAAUGACAACAUUGUUGACUUGCAUUCUUUGGUUGAGAAUGGAUAUAAAUGUCUUUCAUAAUAUCAUAACUAAUUUGAUGAGUACUUCUGUCACUGUUAGUGGAGAGGAUGGAAGAAGUCGAGCAGAGCAGCUCUUGCAUAUUUUGAGACAACUUGAUCCCUAUGUUUCCUCGGCAGUGGAAUAUCAGAGGGAAAGAGGAUGUCGUGCUGCUCAUGAGAUGCUUCACAAGUUUCGGACACUAUGUAUUAGUGGAUAUUGUGCAUUUGGCUGCCGAGGAAGUUGCACACAUGGCAAGCAUGUUGAUCCUGUUGUACACCGGAAUUAUUCUAAUUUACCAUGUAAGACUGUAUCCAUGUGCCUUUUCUUCCUCUGUAUAUGUGUUGUUUAGUACUGUUAUGACCAGUUUUAUUGGUUGCCUUUCUACCAUCAGCUGCUUUUGUGCUGCCAAGUCGUGAUGCACUGUCUUUAGGGGAGAGAAUCAUGGUUUAUCUUCCUCGUUGUGCGGAUACAAUUCCUGAAGUUAGAAAGCUUUCUGCACAGGUCAGUAGUGUGAUAGAGUUUUAUAUUGUUUGAGUUAGCUUGAUGUUUCCAGUUUAUGAUUGCUGAACUUAAAGAUUGGUUUGUACGUAUGAGUAUGCCAUAAUUGUUGCAUCAGUCCCUUCCUUCUCUUCCUUCAUCUUCUCUCUGCAUUUGCUUAUCCUCUUUUUACUUUCUUCUGAUUUUUGUCUUAUUUUUUCCUACCUGUAGAUUCUUGAUCUGUUUUUCAGUAUAUCUCUGUCUCUGCCGAGGCCUGUGAAUUCCAAUUUGGGGUUGGAUUUAGAACUGUCUUAUAGUGCUUUGACGUCACUUGAGGAUGUUAUAGCUAUCCUAAGAAGUGUAAGUCUGUUUACUAUCCUCUCUAUUAAAUUUCCAUUUUUAUUAUUAAAACAUGUUAUUUAUUUUAAUUCCUUUUGAUUUAUUGAUGAAGUAAUUCCUUUUUAUUUUCUUGUCAAAUAUAUAUUUGUACUUCAGGAUGCUUCUAUUGAUCCUUCGGAAGUAUUCAACCGGGUUGUUUGCUCUGUUAGCAUCUUGUUGACUAAAGAUGAGGUAAUAGUCUUAUGCAAGAUUUUGGUUGUGUUCUCUAUACACUAAUCUUUUUGAUAAUUCUGGUGGAUUUGUAUUGAAUUGGAUGAAGAAUUUAUCAAGCCUCCAAGCAACACCUAACAAAAUUUUACAGCUUGCUGCUGCCUUGCAUGGUUGCUCGACAGCCAUAUGUGACAAGGUGAAGCAAUCUGCAGAGAGUGGAAUCCAAGCUGUAGUUGAGUUUAUCACCAAGAGGGGGAAUGAGUUGAAUGAGACUGAUAUCUCAAGGUCCUUCCAACAUGAAUUACUUGUAGUUUUAGAUGAUUUCCGACAAUAGUUUUUGCCAACAAUUAAUAAAUUAAUGAAUUUGACUUAGAGACAUGUCUGUGAACAGGACAACACAAUCUUUGCUCUCAGCUACAGUGCAUGUGUCCGAGAAGUAUCUGCGCGAGGAAACUCUUUGUGCUGUAUCCCUUUAUACUAACUUUUGUCGGCAGUUGGGAGUGGGAAAUUUUGAUAAUCUACAUUUAUUGAAAUAUCAUUUUGCCUGUCAUUUUGAGGACAACUGUUUAGCAAAUGAUACCUCAUUUGCAACCUUGAUGCAACAGGAUUGUCUUUGAGAUUUUGAACUUUAUGGGAAGAUGUUUAACUCAGAAGAAUAACAGAAACCCAUUCGUAGGAGUCGCUUGAAGGAUCUCUUAGGAAGUGCACCUAAAUUUGAUAAAAUUGCCCCCUACACAAACACUUAGGGUUGAUGGAUUUUGAUUUCUUUCCAUUUGUGGGAGAAUCAUGUCUACAACUUGAUGUCACCCUGCUUCAAGGAUUUUAGAGUUCAUUAGUCCCUCAUUUUGACCUUAUUGGAGAAGGUUUUUCUAGUGUCAAAAGCCAAAUCAGUUCUAGCUGUUCUAGUUGGAAUUGAUUGGUUGGUGGAGCCUGAAUACUUUUAAGUGAUGAAGGGCUGUAGUACUUGGAUUGGGUUUGGGCCAUGUAGAUUGGGGUAUUGGAUUAGGAUCAGGCUAGUGGGGACCCAGGAUAUUAAGAGGUGAUGGCAGGUGAGAAAGGCCUGUUAAGAUGUAUAUCUGGGGAGGAUACUUUAUAUGUUUUACGCAAUAAAAAGUUUAUUUGUAGAUGGAUACAAUAAACUUGUAAAUUUUAUAAGAAGACAUUGCAUUUUUCAGAGUCUCAGGUGUUGGGUUUCUGUUCUGGCUUAUUCCCAGUGGCCUUCUCUAUAAAAUUCUAUAUCAUGUAUGGCAACCUUUAUCUUUAUGGCUCUGUGUUGGAGUAUCAUCCUCUAUUUGCAAUUAUGCUUGUGUGUGCAUUUUUCCAAUAACUUUUUAAAGAUCUCGGCUCUUGCUGAGAACACCAGCUCAGGCAUUGUGUUCAAUGAAGUAUUAGCAGCUGCAGGAAGGGAUAUAACCACCAAAGAUGUAUCCAGACUACGUGGUGGCUGGCCAGUACAGGAUGCAUUUUAUGUACGUUGUUCGUUGCACAUGAUAUUCAUUGUGAUAGUUAUGGCUCUAACAUCAUGUCUAUUUGAUUUAUGCAUAUGUGAUUAUGAAUGUAUUUGCUUGUUGUAUGUGUUUGUACAUUGUCUUGUGUGGAUGUUUUAGUUAUUUGGAGAUAUAGUAUGUAAAUGUAUUCAUUUGUGUAGGGGUGUGCGUGUGCGUGAGAGAGAGACAGAGAGCACUUUGAGCUUCAAAUGCAAUUGGUUAAUGUCUCUUUUAUUCAGUAUCAGAUGGAAAGAUAUCUUGAGAUUUAAACUCAUGAUAAUGAAUAAUCCUAUGUCUACAUGAUUUUACUUGUCUUUGCUGUUCUUUUCUCUGUUCUUUUAGCAGGGUUAUUUUCUCCUAGUACUAAUACCUAAAUAAUUACAAGUUUUUAUUUGCCAAUAGGCAUUUUCCCAGCAUGUUGUACUGUCAUAUACAUUCCUGGAGCAUGUGAUAGCUAUUGUGAAUCAGACCCCUCUUCUUAAAGGUGAUCUGGGUAGAGGAGAAACUCCCAGUCAUUCUGGUGAUAAUCAGCUGGAGGAUGUUUUACAGGCAGCUGUUGUCGCUCUGACGGCGUUCUUCAGGUCUAUAUCCAUUACAUUAUUCAACCUUUCUAUUUUAUAUUGCAGCUCUUUCACAUCUCAGUCCAUGUAAAUGCCAGAGGAGGUGGUAAAAUUGGAAGGAAGGCUGUUGAGCAGAAUUAUGCUUCAGUCCUUGCGACUCUGGUGCUCCAUUUUGGAAGUUGCCAUGGCUUAGCCAGUUUUGGUCAACAUGAACCACUGCAGUAUGUGUUAAUUGACUUCCACGUUCAUGGACAUUUUGAAUCUCAUGAGUUUAUAUUGAUAACCUUCUUUCUUUUAUUAUGUUCCAGUUCAAUGCUGAUAGCGUUUCAUGCAUUCUGUGAUUGUGUUGGUGAUCUGGAGAUGGGCAAGGUACUGUAGGUUUGGCUAGAAGUGGUAAUGUUCAUUCAUUUUUAACAUUUCCUUUUUGACCAUUUAGCUAAAAAGCAGCAAAUGUAUAUGCAGAUUCUUACUAGGGAUGGAAAACAUACUGAAAACGAGAAGUGGAUAAAUGUCGUUGGAGAUCUUGCUUGCUGCAUUUCCAUAAAAAGACCAAAAGAGGUUGAAUUAUUUACUGAAUUUGCCUCUCUCUCUCUCUCUCUCUUGGCAUUCAAAAACUACAAUUGCAGAGAUAUCUUCAAACAGUCAUGCACUUACUUGUCACUUCUUCUCUUGCAUUAUAAAAAUUGCAUACACUAUGAGCCAUCACUACAAACUUCAAACACCCCCACCACCUGAAAAAUGAUCCCAAAGGAAGAAAAACGGAAUAUAGUAAAGGAGAAUACUAACUGAUGGGAAAGAACAAAGAGCGUCUCUGUGCUUUUUAAAGGGUGAGUAGUGUGCUAACUGUUAUUAGUUUGCUGUUACACCCAGGUAAAUGUUUGCAGUUGUCUGGAGGAUUGAUCUGAAUGUCAAUUCCUGAAUCCCAGAUUUAAUUUAUGCUGAGUUUGUAUAGUCCUUUUGUCAUAUUUUUCCAUACUUAGAAGUGUUCUGUGACAAAAUGAUGCAAAUUGUGACUUGUCGACAAGUUUGACGUUGUUAUUUGUUUCCAGUCAAUAAGUGAUAGAAACAUGGGACAUCCAAAUUCUUUGUAGAAAAUGCAUCAUGAUGUCUAGUGAUCACCCAGUAGCUGUGGUAUAGAGUUGUGAAUGUAUUUUAAUUUGUAUGCUUAUGGAAUUCCUUGAAUCUGCCUGAUUCAUGUUGCUUAAAUGUCCCCCAUAUUCAGUCCAGGAAAUAUCACCAUCUGAUAUUUAGCGACUGAAAUUAUGAGAAUUUUUUUUGCACACCGAUUUUUUGGGCUAGAAAUUUCUUUAACUCUUCUAUCAAUUCGUCAGAGUUUCCAACGACAAUAUGGUUCUAAAGUCCGCUAGAACUGAAUGCAUAAGCAUUGCUAAGAUAGAAUGGUUCCAAAUGGAGUGUCUUACUUUCACUCGGCAUGGUGUUUCUGGGUGCCAAUUGAAAUAUAACCUGUGUUAUACAGAGUGGGAACUUGAUGGGCUGUAGUCUCCACAUGAGCUCGUGUAUAUUUGAGUACUAUAAUUUUUCUUUGACUAAAUCAUUUACAAAAGGCAAGUAUGACAAUAUUUUGGUAUUUGAGAAAAAUAUAAAAUGGAUGCAUACAUUAUGGAAUGAUUGCAUGUACAUGUUUAAAUCUGUAUAUGUUUGCUCUUGGAAAUCAAACAUACCAAAGAGAAGCCAAAAUGGUGACAUGAUGGUGGUCUUUCCCUCUCAAUGUUUUAAAAGAAGGGCAUUGAGUAUUGAGCAUAUAUUGGACCUACUAUUGUUAAAGUUAUUCUGUAGGUAUUGUAAUAUUUGUCAACUUAUGCUUGAGCUUGCAUCUAUCCGUUGGGUACUGCAAUCUUUUAAGGUUUUAAGUGCUUUGAGUAUACGAUCUCCAACUUGCAAGUUUUUGGUGUAGCAAUUAUCAAUUGUUGUUACAGAACUCCUAACUUUUCCAUACGAAUAUCUUACUCAGAUACCAUCAAUAUGUUUGAUUGUGAGCAAAUCUCUAGAAAGAUUUGAAAGAUUUCACAGGGAAGCAGCCGCUGCAGCAUUGUCAGAGUUUUUGCGGUAUAGGUAUGGCUGGUAAUUAUUAUUGGUCUCAGUGUGUGUAUUUUUUCGUUUUUUUUUUUGUUUGGAGGGAGGGGGGGGGCUUUCUGUGGGGCAUAUUUGUUAUGCUCACUUGGCUAGUUGCAAAUUUUAUUUUCUUUUUUUGGUUGGAAUUGGGCUGCUGAAUCAUUCAGAGAGCUGAAAAUGGUGAAAAAUGAUAUCAAGUUACCACAGUUUUUGAAAUUAUCAGGCCGAUUUUCAUAUUGGCUUGUAGCUCUUAAUCCUAGAUCCUACAUUGUUCUUCAAAUAUUUUUAGCUUGGAAUUUCUGAUUUCUGCAGUGAUGGCUUUGGUUCUCUAUUAGAGCAGAUGGUCGAAUUAUUAUCGCGGCAUGUAUCAGAUGAUUCUCCAACUGUUAGGCGCCUCUGUUUAAGAGGGCUUGUUCAGGUAAUAUUAUCUUCUUUUGUUUUGUUUUUUUUUUCCUUUUUAACUUUUUCUUGAAUUCUGAUUGCUUUCAUAAACAUUCAAUAGAAAAUCAGCUGCAAAAUGAACAAGUUUUUGCAAAAUCUACUUUUAUAAGUUGCCGUGGGACCAACUGAUUCUUUAGCAGUGCAUUUUACUGUUGCAUAUGUGGUUUAGAAGUAUGCUCAUUCUUGUGCGCUGUUUUUUGUCUAACCAGUUACUUUUACGACUUCAAUUUUGAUGUUAUAAUGCCCCUUGGCCUUGCAGAUGCCAUCUAUCCACAUACUUCAAUACACCACUCAAAUUCUGGGGGUAAUAUUGGCUUUACUAGAUGACCCGGAGGAAUCUGUUCAAUUAACUGCAGUGUCAUGCUUGCUAAUGGUGAUCUCCUCCGCCUUCUUAGUCUAUCUUUGACCGCUGUUACUGCUUCAUGCAUUUACUCUAUCAAUGCUUCCCCUUACUAGGUCCUUGAGUCAUCUUCUAAAGAUGCUGUGGAGCCCAUUCUUCUCAACCUUUCAGUUCGACUCCGUAAUCUUCAAGUAAGUUUUGAUUCUUGGAAUAUUAUUUCUCAUUUCUGUAGUCUACUUUCCGUGACUGACAGCAGGAUUCCAUUUAAAUUUGGAUUCAUGAUGUUUCGAAAAAACAUGAGAGUAGAAAGUUAGCAAGAUGAUGAUGCUCGGAUUUGUUAGUUUAUUGCUUAUGGCUGUGACUUAGAGAAAAAUAGUGGGUAGACUGAAAGCUAUCUUAAUUGUUGAUUCUCUGUGUUGGUGACAGAUAUGCAUGAACACAAACAUCCGUAGAAACGCAUUUGUUGCUUUUGGAGCCCUAAGUGGCUAUGCAGUUGGGUCACAUCAUGAGGCAUUUCUUGAACAGGUUGUUUCCUGACUCAAUGCACAAAUUGUUUGUUACAUAUUUGUAGUUAAAGGGAAUUAAAGCAUUUUUUCUGAGUUGAGUUUUACUAUGGUUCAACUUUUAAAGUAUAAUGGUCUGUCCUUCCUUAAAACUUGUUUGUCAUCGUAACUCAAGCUAUCAACUAUGCAUGUUUCUGACAUGGUACUUUUUUCCCCCACUAAAUUCUUGCUUUGCCAUCAAUUUACGGAAGAAUUUAUAUUUUCUUCGUACUGGAUAUUGAAAUAUCUUCUCAGGUACACGCUGUCUUCCCGCGUUUGGUUUUGCAUCUUCAUGAUGACGAUCUAGGUGUCAGACAGGCCUGCCGGGUAGAUAAAUAGUCAUCAACUCAGUGUAGUUUUCUUGGCUUGGAUAUUCUAAAAUCUUGAGCUUGUUUUUUCUUUUUCCAGACCACAUUCAGGUCUAUUGCUCCUCUAAUGGAAAUUGAGGGAGUUGUUGCCCUUUCCAAUACAAAUUGGUUUGGUUCUGAUCACAGGUACUUUUGCAUCAAUAAAAGAAGGAUGUUUCCUUUAAUAAUUGUUGAUUGAUGCCGGAUAUUAGACUGUAUUAGGAUAUUUUUGUGUUUGCAGAAGUGACUACGAAGACUUUUUGAGAGAUCUUGCCAAACAACUUAGUCAACAUUUGGAUUCACGUAUAGAUAGUUAUAUGGUAUCAAUAAUACAGGUUUGGAUAUUCCUUUGCUCAACAUGUUAAUUGAGUUUGGCAUUUUUGCUUGAACGUCUCUUAACCCACUCUGGAAAAAUUUCUCCUGUUAUGUGAGCACAGGUUCAUGGAUUUUCACUACUUGAUUAGGUCAUUAGACUGUUCAGAUUUCAUUUGAGUGCUAUAAUUGUGUCCUUUAUUGUUUACUUGUCCAAGGACAAACUUGUAGGAGGUUUUACAAUUAUCCUAGUGCUUGAAGAAGAUGUUAAGCGGACUCUUUUUUUUUUCUUUCAUAACUUUAGAUGUACUCUAUUUUACCUCAAAUUCUACUUGAUACUGAUCAGUAUAUUAAAAAGCUUUUUAAAUUUGGGGUAUUAACAUACAAUAAGACUGGAACAGAUGAUUUGAUCCAACCAUGUCCUAGACUUUGAUGGUGUGGUAUACAUUUCAAUAUCCUUGUAUGCAUAGGCUGUUUUCUGGACUGAACACAUUUCCAUUCAGCUUGAAUGGGCACUUAAUACGCAUUCUCAGACUAUAUUCUACACGUAUGAAAUAAGGAAGGCUUGAGAAAAAAGGGCUCGGCAUUAGAGUAUAAUUUGUACUUCUAAAAUUUGAAUGACUGAGUGAUGUUGAGUAAGAUUUGUUUAAUUAGCUUUAAUUUGUGCAGAGAUUAUUGACCAAAAUUAUCAAAUGCUGUGAUAUAUUCAAUAAAAUUGCAGAAAUCCUAUUAUAUUUUGGUUUGAAUUUUAAAAAAGCUAAAAAUAAUUUAGUAUUUAACAGAUGAAAGAGCUCAAAAUUUGAGCUGUUAUUCUUCUCAAAUUGAUGUGAACUCAAGCUCAAACAACUAAUUUCUGUUAUGAGCUGUGCUGAAGAGGAUUUUGACUCAAAAAAUGUUGUGAGCCGAAUUCAAGCUCAUGUUGAGUGAUAAUAUUCGAGGUGUUCAAGGUAUAUCAGGCGGAUGAGGUGCUCGUCUGAUCGGAUCAUUCGAAAAUUCAUUAAUAGUGUAAACUAUUGUUUUUCAUCUUUUAAAGCAUAUUGGAUAAGACGUGCUUAAACUUGACUUUUGAAAAUCAUUUGGUGUCUUGAACUUGUGAUGCAUAACUAAGGCUAACGGUGUACUGGACAGGCAAUGGAUUCUAGAAAUGCACCAUGUAUUAAAGAACUAAUUCACAGGGUUCAAUAAGCAAUCAAUAUUUCAUGUAAUGGUUACACUAUAGAUGUCAUUGAAGCUCAUGAGGUUCUGGAUAUGCAGGCUUUUGAUGCUCCAUGGCCUGUGGUCCAGGCGAAUGCUGUCUAUCUGUGUAGCAGCAUGCUUGCUCUCUCUGAGGAUCAAUGUAUAUCACCUCUCUAUUGUAACCAGGUAACUUCCAAUUUCCAAAUGACAAAUGUGCUAUUAUCUAAGACUUAUGGAAUCUGCAUGCUAAAAUUUGACUGGGCUUGUCUUCUCUUAGGUGCUUGGAAUGUUGAUCAGCAAGAUGAGUCGGUCAGCAGAUGCAAUUGUUAGAGCGACUUGCUCUUCGGCCUUGAGUUUGUUACUCAAAUCAGUUAACUUAGCCUCUUGGAAAGCCGUUCGGCUUGAAUGAGUGAUCUUGCCGAAAUCUGCUUGGUUUGUUUGAGUUGACUUGAUUCAGCAGAGCCACGAAACAGAGGACGUUAUGAUGUACAUGAUAGAAUAGGAAACUGUAAGUUGGUCAUAUGCUUCAGAUAAAGUAGGCUCAUUUUUAAAUGUAUUUGGAGAUCCCGCUUCACUUUGAUAGGUACAGCUGCUGUGUUGCAUUAGGGUUGAGGCACUGUUUUUUAAACACUUUCUGUGUUUACUGCUUGUAAUAUUGUAUCCAACAAAAAUGGAACAGAAAUCGAGAUGUCAUCUGUACAUUCCAUUACAAACAAACUUUAGCUAAGUUUGUAGUUUGCCCUUGCCAUACUAUGCUAGUAUUUCCUACUGCCAAUUUUAUAUGAUACGGAAUACUUUGGCUUCAUAACCCCUCGUUCGAAAUUGCUCAACAUUCACGAUCAUGAUUAACAUGGAUCUGUGGUUGUCCUGCGGGAGCACGAGGCUGUUGACUGAGUGAGUUUGUGCAUUUUGAUAUUUCAGAAGCCUUGAUUCUCGCAUUGAAACUUGUUAUUCAUUAUUUUUUUGCACAUAAGAUGUAUUUGGGUGGAGCUAUAAUCAAGUUGAGUUUUUGACUUUCAAGCUCGGUUCAUUAAAUUAUCGAGCGAGUUUGAGCUCAGCUCAGCUCAUCUAUUUAACAAGUUAGAAAUUGUGUUCGAGUUCGGUUAGUUAAAAUUAUCUUGAAUUCGAAUUCAAGUUCGAACUUAAGUCGUAUGGCAUGCAUGAAAAAGCUCAAAUAUGCUUAAAAGUCUUAUAGAAUUUUGCAAUUCAAAAAAUUUAAUCAACUUAAUGAGCCUAUUGAGCAAGAAAAUUUUCAUCGAAUAGAAGAAGAUUCCGAAUAUUUAAGCAAAACAAAAUCCUAGAUGGUCAAGGCAAGUUAUUAAGAAAAUUAGUAAUAGUAACUUGAACAAAUGUAAAAACGAAUUAUUUGUGAAUUGAGGUGAGCUUGGCUCAUUUAAAACGGGCUUAAUUUGAUGUUUGAUUUUUGGCUCAUUCAGUUAAAUAAACAGGUUGAAUUCGAGCUUAUAUGAGCCGAGUAAAGUUGAACCCAAGAAUAGCUCAGUUUGUUUAACAAUUAUUUUUUUAGUUCCGAGGCAAAAAAAUUUGGAUGGACCAAAUGGAGGCACUCGAGGCACUCUCAAUCCCUCCCCCUACAUCCAAGGAGGAGGGACUAACCUCCUGGAGGCUAGAACCCAGCGGUUAGAAUAUGGUUCCCUAUCUUCUAUGGAAUUCACAUAUUAUGUAAUAAUGUAUUUAUCGUGCAAUGUGUUUGAAAAAAGCAACUCCAUCUAUAAAAUCAUGCUAGACCCCUAUUACGUCAGCUGUUGGUCUGGCUUAGCUCUGCUCAUACUGUGCGAGACGGGAAUUCCCUGCUCUUAUUAUUGAUCAAGUUUUUCCAAUCAGUGGUUUCAAAAAACAGGGAAAAAAAAAAGACAAAGUUUGUCCAAUCCGUGUGACAAAUUAUCUGAUUCACUUCUUUGUUCGCAAACUUAAAACUCGGUCUUUUGCCCUCGCCGACUUUCUGAUUUAUUUCAUGAUAAUUAUAGAGACAUCUCGACAAGGAAAAUGAUUGAACUACAUAAGACAAACUCAAAACUCGCACUGGACAAUGCAUGAGAUAGAAUACGGUGGAUUGUCCAUCUUAUAAUGCAAGGUGAGGAUAAGCUCAUGCUGGCCAUGCACGAACGCGGCCGUGGUGGAAUUCGGAGGAUCUCAUCUGUGGCUGCUGUGCUGACUUCCCAUCCAUUUGUUUCUGGCCUUUUGCAGCUACAUCGCAAAUAUACAUACCUAAUUAAAUUAAAAAAGUGUCCUGACACUGACUUUAAAUUUUUUUUCACUGCCCUUUGUUGCUGGUUUUGGCUCAGCGGUUUCCUCGCGCGAAAGUCGACAGUAAAAGCAGCCAAAUGGCUGUCAGUCUUCUGGGCUUGAGGGGAGCACAUGGUUGACGGAAACGGGGGUAGGAGCGGUCAUUCUCACGAGCUGUUAAUGGCCAUGAUUUGGCCUCAACAAAUUGUACGGUCCAAAUCAUAAGUUGUGCAUCGAUUUUCACACCGCGUGUGGGACUCAUAAAUUUUUGUACUAAAAUUACACGUUGUGCAAAUAAAGUUACGCCGUGUGCAACCAAAGUUACGCGCUGUUGAAAAUGGUCAAAACCGUUUAAUUAGUUACAUUUUAGCUCAAGUGGUACCCGGCAUUCCAACUCAAAGACCUUAAAGGUCAAAGGGUUCGAGUCCUGGGGAGACCCCCUCCAAACACCACCAGGGAAUCCAGGCUCCCCUGCUCCCCAAGACGGUGGCGAGACGGACAAAUACACAAUUGGCCUCCACAAAAAGGCUGUAAAGUUCCAUAUCCUUCACUUUGCGUCUGUUUUCUAAUUUCUAAUUUAGUGUCCAAAGAAAUUACCUAAAGUCUCUCUCUCUCUCUCUAUAUAUUUUUAAUAAUGUUACGUAAAGGUAAUAACGUAAGCAUCAUUUUAGAGUAGCAAUUUGUGGUCGAACAAUUUAAUCCGAUACAGAAACACCUCUGAGGUCUGGUCCUUAAUGAAAGUUCCUUUCUCUUGGAUUUGUUAAUUGACAAUUCGAGAAGACGACAAAUGAUCAGAGUGUUUCUGGAAGCAACGGAAGAUUGAUCCGAAAAGUAUGAAUCACGCGAGCAAUGAUGAGCAGAUUCGUGUAUGUAUCAACCAUUUGAAAUUUAUAUUCAACUAUAGACAACAAGCAUCACGACACACGAAGACAAAUCCUAUGGCAGCAUAAUUGGACUGGACGAUUAUUAUUAUUAUCAAACCCCAAAAAAAAAAAAAAACAGAAAGAAAGAAGAAGUCUGGACGACCGGUUCUUAUCCCCUGCCGUGAUCAGUAAUGGCAAAUAUAUCCACAAUUUUCCGCAUCAUCAACCUGGAAUUUCCUUCUCCAUACCUUAUGUUUUUCUUUUUUUUUUUUGGUUUGGGUAAUCUGUAAGGUUUCCUUCUACACACUUGAUACGACGACCGAAGUUGAGACACAAUCAUAGCGGAGAUUUGGUCGAAGCAAAGAAACAAAUCAACAGAAAAUUACGUAGAACCUAGAAACUACCACACCUGUCAAUCAGUUUCUUCUGUCACAAUUCACGACGUGGAUACAAAUCCUUUAGGCUUCUUCGUAGGGGCAAGGGUGGGCCUGUAACCUUGCCUAGUCCCUUACAACACCGGCCCGGCUGAAUGAAUUUGAGAAGACCGCAAGAACUCUUAUCAAAAAACAGUACAGGAGUGAACAUUUUGGCCAUAUCUGUCUAGCUACUGCGCAGAUGCAACCGUAAUAGACUUGUCGAAUUCAUCACCGGCAAUUGUUGACUUUCUUGCCCGGCGCUUAUCACCACCAUCAACUUUCUUGAUAACCGGAAUCUAUGCCAAUUCCGCAUUUCCGACUUCACCCCACCGAAUUUUCUUGCCAUUGAUCCACGGUCGAUGCAUGUGUAACACAUUCGCUGGCCUUUCUCGUUGCAAAUUAACUAUGUCUACACGCCAAGUUGCCGAAAGCCUGAUGAUCAUGUUUAAUUAAUGGCACCAAAUGUGCAGGAUCUUCACUUUGUGCUGGUCCCUUUACUAGCGCAAGGCCACCUGAUCCCGAUGAUAGACAUGGCCAAGCUUUUCGCCGAACAUGGCGUUAGAGUAACCUUGGUUACUACUCCAAACAAUGCCCCCUCAUCAAAAAGAGCUAUUCAUCGGGCUCGGGAAUCAGGGCUCUCCAUUCAAGUGCUGGAAAUCCCGUUCCCCUCUACAGAAGUAGGGCUGCCACCAGGCUGCGAGAAUCUCGAUAGCGUGCCUUCCAGAGAUCUUCUAAGAAAAUUUUACACCGCACUGCAUAGUCUACAGCAGCCACUGGAACAGUAUCUCCAAGAACACAAGCAUCCUCCGAGCUGCAUAAUUUCAGAUAAGUGUAUGUCCUGGACGUCCCAAACAGCUCGAAAAUUCCAGGUUCCAAGAAUAAUUUUCCACGGAAUGUGCUGCUUCUCUCUAUUGAGUGCCCAUAACAUCAAGCUCUACAGGUCUCACCUUUCCGUUAGGUCCGCUGCUGAACCCUUUGUCAUCCCGGGAAUGCCAAUGCACGUCCAAAUCACGAAAGCCCAGUUACCAGGAUCAUUCGUUGCAUUGCCUGACCUGGAUGAUGUCCGGGACCAGAUGCGCGAUGCUGAAUUGAGCUCUUAUGGGGUGGUGGUUAAUACAUUUGCGGAAUUGGAGAAUUGUUGCGUGGAGGAAUACAGAAAGGCUACAGACAAAAAGGUUUGGUGCAUCGGACCUGUUUCGCUGUGUAACAAGCAUAAUUUGGACAAGUUUGAGAGAGGGAACAAAUCAUCCAUUGACGAAGAGCAAUGCUUAGAGUGGCUUGACUCAAGGAAGUCAGAGUCAGUUCUUUAUGCUUGCCUGGGCAGCCAGUGCCGGCUAGUUCCAGCCCAAUUGAUACAAAUCGGAUUGGGAUUGGAAGCAUCUAAUCAACCAUUCAUUUGGGUGAUUAAGACAGGAGAAAGAUUCUCCGAGUUGGAGCAAUGGUUAUUGGAUGAAAGGUACGAGGAGAGGAUCCGAGGGAGGGGAUUACUGAUUAAAGGUUGGGCGCCUCAGGUUCUUAUUCUGUCCCACCCUGCAAUCAAAGGAUUCUUGACACACUGUGGUUGGAACUCUACCAUAGAAGCCGUGUGCUCAGGUGUGCCAAUGAUAACAUGGCCUAUGUUUGCUGAACAAUUUCUCAACGAGAAAUUGGUUGUAGAAAUACUUAGGGUCGGUGUUCGAGUUGGCGUUGACGUGCCAGUAAGAUGGGGAGAAGAAGAGGAAGUUGGAGUACUAGUGACUAAAGAGCAAGUUGUAAAUGCUGUGGAAAGGCUAAUGCAUGAAGGAGAAGAAGGCAACGAUCGGAGAAUCAGAGCCAAAGGGCUUGGUUUGGCUGCAAAGAAGGCCAUGGAAGAUGUAGGGUCGACUAAUAUCAACGUAUCACUUCUGAUCCAAGAUAUUAUGGAGCAAUCCUUUAAGUUAGGAGAAGGGUAAAGAGCUGUAUUACUUGUUAGCAAUAAAACGUUUGCGAAAAACUCUCUUUGUUAUUUUCUUGUUAUAUUUCCUUUCUCAAGUUUAUAAAACAAGGUUACCAAUUUCGAACCCUCUGCGCUAUGAUUAAAGCAAGAAUAGGGAAAGGAAAAAAAACGAUGUUUUUGUUCAACUGAUGCUGAUUCUGCCAUAUCUUGAAUAACGAAUAUUUUUUAGCUGUCAAUUUUUGAAAAGAAGAAGCACUUAAAUCAAGGAUUCGAAUAAUUCUUUACUCUCCCAGAUGCAGACAUCAGAAUUAGGAAGCCAGAGCAACAUUGGCUAGUGCAUUUUAUUGUCAAUCCCGAGUUGUAAAACUCUUGCUAAGAAACUGCAGCCCGGUUCUAGAAUGGUGGGAGACUUGAUUCCAACCACAAUUUAGUUCGUUGGACCAUCUCUACCACUCUCUGCGU